Long non-coding RNA from Heterocephalus glaber (naked mole-rat), 567 nucleotides. NCBI's taxonomy places the organism in Eukaryota, Metazoa, Chordata, Mammalia, Rodentia, Bathyergidae. The record is from Ensembl.
GUGAGUAUUCAAGCUUCCUAUUCUUCGCUCUUUUUGAGCAUGUGUGGCUAUUUUAAACCUGAGAAGAAUCCUGGAGUAGUGAAUUUUUAAUCAUUUCUAAUUUUUUCUGGAGAUUGAAUUCCUGGAUGGGGGAUUCCCAGCCAAGCAGCCGUGCCUUGGCUGGGAAUCUGUGAGGGCAUCACCUGGCCAGGCUCUUGGGGCUUCUGAGUUUGUCCUUCUUGGCACUCACUCUUGUCCUUUACCAUCCUUACAUGUGAAUAACAGGUCUUCUAUUUGUCUCUUUGCUUAGCCUGGAGGUCAUUUCUGAGCCUUUGAACCCAUAGGAGUCAUUGUCAUCUACCUGAGCUGCAAGUCAGGAAGGCAGCUGCCUUCACACAUAGGCCGGCUGGGCCCAUCCCGCAGCACAGUCAGCAGCUGCCCAGGGACAGGACCCCUCACAAUGUUCAGCCACUUGUCACCUCGGGAGGAGCAGGAGCUGGAACUUGACUGUUCAGACUCAGGGCUCCUGGGAGGUGUGAGAGAGUGCUGCAGUGACUCCUCACCCUUGGAGAGACAGUUAAUCAGGAG